Epinephelus lanceolatus (giant grouper) is the source of this 1082-nucleotide non-coding RNA. NCBI's taxonomy places the organism in Eukaryota, Metazoa, Chordata, Actinopteri, Perciformes, Serranidae. The record is from RefSeq and is a predicted model, not a curated record.
UGGCUCAAUCAUGUCUUCACAAACUGCAGCUGUUGUCAACAGUUAAGUUCAAUCACUUCACACCUGUUCAGUAUGUUGAGGGCCAAAUUAUUGAGGACAUGAUCUGAAGGUUUGUAGGAGACAGAGACGGAGAAACAAGCAGGAAACUCUUUUAAAGUUGCUGUAUGUUCAGGUUACAGUUACACACAUGUCAUCAGUGUGUUUCUCCUCGGCCUGAAGAAAGUUGCUGGUCGUCGGUCGCCGCCAUCUGCAGCCUGCUGGCCGGUCAGAAACUGCCCCCUUCCUCGGUGUCGUCCAACUGAACCGCGACAAUGUUCCACCACCGGUUCUUCUUCUAUUGUUCUUCUUCAGCUGUCAGCAGGGGGCGACACGCGCUCCUCAGCGGGACUGCCUGCUGUCAUCUUCCCCGGGACCGACGCACGUCCAGCCAGCUCCAAAGGGGAGAGCAUGAGGGGGUCCAGGCGUACAGGUUGGGGGUGUGCCAGAGGAGACUGGAGGGUCAUCACUGACGUCACUAAUGCGACACACCUGGGAGAGAGCAAUGGUGGAAAUGUUUGGCGGCGCCAUGCUCGGACUGUUCAAGCUAGACUGUGACAGUUUUGGAGCUCCGACAUCCACUUUGUAUUGUCUUUGACUGAAGUAACUAUAGUGUCCGCAUCAGGAGGAGGAGAGGCAGCAGCAGGAACAUGAGGGGUGACAGAGUUCAGUCCUGUAGCUACAGUGUGUCCACUGCCACUACAGACUGCCUCGCCAGGAGGAGAGUAGGCAGCAGCUCUGGAGCCCCAGCCAGCGGCUGCAGCAACCCGGACUCUACUAGUGCAAACCGCAGCUCCAGCGGACCAUGCAGCCCAGACUGCCCACCAGAUCAGCAAACUUUCUGUUGCUGCCAUUACACAGGUUAUCCUCGAUCCAAGUUGUGUCCUGAAUUGCCAAAACCAGCAGUGCCCGGAUGAGCAGACACAAGGCUGUUGUUCUGUCUGGAUCUAAGUGAUCGAUCAGAGGAGGCUACGAAGGAGCUGUUGGCUACAGACCCUGAGGGGUUGUUGUGAAAAUCAUCCCAACUGUGACACUGACUACAAAAG